Non-coding RNA from Acanthosepion pharaonis, 111 nucleotides. NCBI's taxonomy places the organism in Eukaryota, Metazoa, Mollusca, Cephalopoda, Sepiida, Sepiidae. The record is from the annotation of a GenBank genome assembly.
CGACAUUAUCACGUUGAAACAUCGGUUCCCGUACGACGAUCGAAGUUAAGCAACGUCGAGCCUGAUCAGUACCUAGAUGAAUGACUGUCUGGGAAUACCAGGUGCUGUAAG